RNAcentral lists this ribosomal RNA (253 nucleotides) under uncultured bacterium. RNAcentral's name for it is "partial 16S ribosomal RNA". It matches the Rfam family "Bacterial small subunit ribosomal RNA", at positions 524 to 776 of the family's 1533-position model. The record is from RNAcentral.
UACGAAGGGUGCAACCGUUGCUCGGAAUUACUGGGCGUAAAGCGCGCGUAGGCGGCUUGACAAGUGGCGGGGGAAAUCCCUCGGCUUAACCGAGGAACUGCCUGCCAGACUGUCUUGCUUGAGACCGGGAGAGGUGAGUGGAAUUCCCAGUGUAGCGGUGAAAUGCGUAGAUAUCUGGAGGAAUACCGGUGGCGAAGGCGGCAUCCUGGACCGACAUUGACGCUGAGGAGCGAAAGCCAGGGGAGCAAACGGG